CCUGCUCCUGUUCAGGAAGGGUCUCCGUUUCUGAGGGAGGAGUUUGUUUGUAGAAGCUCUCGCUGGAUUUUAGCCUUCAUAGAUUCGGUGUAUUCCAGAGAGCAAGGCCUAGCUUCUUUGGCUAACAUGCUUUCUUCCACUCACUCAGUUCUUGUGAUCUUCUUAAUCAUCGGAGGGUCCAAAGGAGACUCAGUGAACCAGACAGAAGGCCCAGUGGUUCUUCCAGAGGAGGCACCUAUGACUCUGAACUGCACUUACCAGACCACUUAUUUGGAUACCUACCUUUUCUGGUACGUCCAGUAUCUCAACAGAGCUCCUCAACUCCUCCUGAAGGGGUCAACUGCAAACCCGAGGGCAGAGGAGCAAGGUUUCCAGGCCACUCUGGAUACGAGUAACAAGACCUUCCACCUGCAGAAACGCUCAGUGCAAACAUCAGACUCGGCUGUGUACUACUGCGCCCUGAGUGACACAGUGAGAGGGGCUGCAGGGGGAGCUGAGCACAAACCCAGAGGGCACAGGUGGGGACUGGCUGUGAGCUGCCCUGGGAGGGGGGGGUUCUUUUCUGUCUCUGCUCUGGCAUGCUGGAGGCAUCCUCAGUGUACUUCCAGCUCUGAUGCUCAGAGCCAGGAUCCUUGGAAUUCUUGGAUUGCUGGACAGAGAGGAAUGUAGGCUGGGGCAGUUUAAGAGGAACCUAAGAGCUCGUCUCAGAAAUGCCUUUCUUCUCAGCCCAACCUCUUUCCUCCAGAUGGCACAGAAUCCCAAGGAAGUGACACCAGCUCUGUUCCAUGACAUACAUGCUGAAAUAUUCCACAAGCUGUUAAGGAAAAUGCCCAUGGCACAUAGUUCAUGGACAGAUGUGUGUGACCUUGAAGCUAGUGCUUGUAUUUUACAGUUCAGACCAGGAUUGGGUGUUUGGCUGAGUUUGACCAGCAGACACUGCAUCUCUCUCUAGCAACUCAGAAAUUUGUUCUCUCUUCCCUUGAAUUCUUAAUUUUUUCUUAUUUUAGGACUGGACAUGCAGCAUAUGGAAG
Phacochoerus africanus (Common warthog) is the source of this 1031-nucleotide non-coding RNA. The record is from the annotation of a RefSeq genome assembly. NCBI's taxonomy places the organism in Eukaryota, Metazoa, Chordata, Mammalia, Artiodactyla, Suidae.